This is a long non-coding RNA of Suricata suricatta (meerkat), 1163 nucleotides long. RefSeq lists it as uncharacterized. NCBI's taxonomy places the organism in Eukaryota, Metazoa, Chordata, Mammalia, Carnivora, Herpestidae. The record is from RefSeq and is a predicted model, not a curated record. The transcript has 2 exons.
GUGCGCGGCCGCGCAGGUGGCGGCGCUGGCGGCCUGGCUGCUCGGCAGGCGGAACUUGUAGGAACGCGGGGCUUCUUGGUGGGGCCGGAGCCGAGACCCAGCCGGAGAGAGCAACAGGUUGGUGAAAACCCUGUGUCCUUGGAGAAAGCUGGUUCCCGUUUUCCUGAGGGGGAGCCCAGAGCUUGGAAGGCCGCGGUUGGCGCUUCGAGAAGGAAGUGGAGAGGCGCCCGGAGUGAUAGUAGCAACGGCGGACAGGGAAGCCCUUUGCAUAUCCAGCUGCAGAAACAGACACCCCAAUGCUAUUUACACACAGCUCUAUAUAUAAAAAAAAGAAAAUAUGAAUAUUACUAUUCAGUGCAUGUCUUGUCGAGGACACGGUCCCCUCCCUUUUCUGCGCCUUCCUGUGUGAACUUUGAUGCUUCCGGGUCUGGGGCACCAGAAGUGAGGUGCGUACUGUGUACCUGGAAAAUCCGCAAAGACUGGUGGGAAUCAGCCCCAGAGUCGACCAACCAGCUGGGGAGGGAUGCUGGCGGAGUGAGGGGGAAGUCGCAAAAGGCAAAAUAGAAAGAAAAAAGGAAAGUGAGGAGGACUAGGAGCCAGUUCUGGUGGAGGAGUCUGGGAUUCCUCCAUUUCUAAGUCUUGACAAGUCCCAGUCUCUCUGCACCUUCCCAGGUAGUUGGCCAGUCCCCCUGGCACACAAGACAGAUGGGAUUUACCUCCCUACCAAUCUGGCGUCUGGUGCUCCACUUAAAUUUUGCUGGUGCUAAGUGUGCUCUUGCUGGCGCUGCCACGGUGUUCUGUUGCCAGACCGCAAGGCCAGGGGACAAGAGAGAUUUCUAUUUUGCUGUUUCGGAUUCAUUUUUUUUUAAAGGGACAAGUUGCAAAAGUGCCACUUGAGAGUGUCUUCUCUUUCUCUGCGGGGAUGAAAACCCAGAGGUGUUUGGGAGCAAACCUUGGGGUCUGGGAGGGAGGAAGGGAAGGGACGGUGGCGUGGUGUUGAGUGGCUCUCUGUAGCCGACGUGGAAAGCUGACCUCAUAUGUGACUUGUUUGCUCUGUCCUCCACCCCCGCAAAAGUGUCCUGGGAGUUCAGCCCCCCACCUCCCCCACCCCCCAAGGGGAUUUCAGGGCUUAGGUUUUAUGGAUUAAAGAGCCAAGAAAUGGC